Molecule: ribosomal RNA, 254 nt
Filed under: uncultured bacterium
Lineage: Bacteria
Description: partial 16S ribosomal RNA
Rfam family: Bacterial small subunit ribosomal RNA
Source: RNAcentral
UACGAAGGUCCCAAGCGUUAUCCGGAUUUAUUGGGUUUAAAGGGUGCGUAGGCGGUCUAUUAAGUCAGUGGUGAAAGCCCCAAGCUCAACUUGGGAACUGCCAUUGAUACUGAUGGACUUGAGUACAUUUUGAGGUGGGCGGAAUGUGUCAUGUAGCGGUGAAAUGCUUAGAUAUGACACAGAACACCGAUUGCGAAGGCAGCUCACUAAACUGUAAACUGACGCUGUGGCACGAAAGCCGUGGGGGAGCGAAA